Molecule: ribosomal RNA, 479 nt
Filed under: uncultured bacterium
Lineage: Bacteria
Description: partial 16S ribosomal RNA
Rfam family: Bacterial small subunit ribosomal RNA
Source: RNAcentral
GAUGAACGCUAGCGGGAGGCCUAACACAUGCAAGCCGAGCGGUAGAGUUUCUUCGGAAACUUGAGAGCGGCGCACGGGUGUGUAACACGUGUGCAACCUACCUUUAUCUGGGGGAUAGCCUUUCGAAAGGAAGAUUAAUACCCCAUAAUAUAAUGAUUGGCAUCAAUUAUUAUUGAAAACUCCGGUGGAUAGAGAUGGACACGCGCAAGAUUAGAUAGUUGGUGAGGUAACGGCUCACCAAGUCAAUGAUCUUUAGGGGUCCUGAGAGGGAGAUCCCCCACACUGGUACUGAGACACGGACCAGACUCCUACGGGAGGCAGCAGUGAGGAAUAUUGGACAAUGGGUGAGAGCCUGAUCCAGCCAUCCCGCGUGAAGGAUGACGGUCCUAUGGAUUGUAAACUUCUUUUGUACAGGGAUAAACCUACCCUCGUGAGGGUAGCUGAAGGUACUGUACGAAUAAGCACCGGCUAACUCCGUG